Molecule: ribosomal RNA, 427 nt
Filed under: uncultured bacterium
Lineage: Bacteria
Description: bacterial SSU rRNA
Rfam family: Bacterial small subunit ribosomal RNA
Source: RNAcentral
UGGGGAAUUCUGGACAAUGGGCGAAAGCCUGAUCCAGCCAUGCCGCGUGAGUGAAGAAGGCCUUCGGGUUGUAAAGCUCUUUUAGUCGGAAAGAAAGAGUUGCAAUGAAUAAUUGUGAUUUAUGACGGUACCGACAGAAAAAGCACCGGCUAACUACGUGCCAGCAGCCGCGGUAAUACGUAGGGUGCGAGCGUUAAUCGGAAUUACUGGGCGUAAAGGGUGCGCAGGCGGUCUUGCAAGUCAGAUGUGAAAGCCCCGGGCUUAACCUGGGAAUUGCGUUUGNAACUACAAGACUAGAGUGCAGCAGAGGGGAGUGGAAUUCCAUGUGUAGCAGUGAAAUGCGUAGAGAUGUGGAAGAACACCGAUGGCGAAGGCAGCUCCCUGGGUUGACACUGACGCUCAUGCACGAAAGCGUGGGGAGCAAACA